Molecule: long non-coding RNA, 774 nt
Organism: Oncorhynchus keta (chum salmon)
Lineage: Eukaryota; Metazoa; Chordata; Actinopteri; Salmoniformes; Salmonidae
Exons: 7
Source: RefSeq, a predicted model, not a curated record
CUGUCCCAGUCUGCCCUCCCCUUCUCUUCUAUACUGUAGGUUAUAUAGAGUGGUGUGGUAACUGUUAUAUACUGUAGGUUAUAUAGAGUGGUGUGGUAACUGUUAUAUACUGUAGGUUACAUAGAGUGGUAACUGUUAUAUACUGUAGGUUAUAUAGAGUGGUGUGGUAACUGUUAUAUACUGUAGGUUACAUAGAGUGGUAACUGUUAUAUACUGUAGGUUACAGAGUGGUGUGGUAACUGUUAUAUAUUGUAGGUUAUAUAGAGUGGUGUGGUAACUGUUAUAUACUGUAGGUUACAUAGAGUGGUAACUGUUAUAUACUGUAGGUUAUAUAGAGUGGUGUGGUAACUGUUAUAUACUGUAGGUUACAUAGAGUGGUAACUGUUAUAUACUGUAGGUUAGAUGGUGUGGUAACUGUUAUAUACUGUAGGUUACAUAGAGUGGUAACUGUUAUAUACUGUAGGUUAUAUAGAGUGGUAACUGUUAUAUACUGUAGGUUACAGAGUGGUGUGGUAACUGUUAUAUACUGUAGGUUAUAUAGAGUGGUGUGGUAACUGUUAUAUACUGUAGGUUAUAUAGAGUGGUGUGGUAACUGUUAUAUACUGUAGGUUACAGAGUGGUGUGGUAACUGUUAUAUACUGUAGGUUAUAUAGAGUGGUGUGGUAACUGUUAUAUACUGUAGGUUAUAUAGAGUGGUGUGGUAACUGUUAUAUACUGUAGGUUAUACAGAGUCGUAUGGUAACUGUUAUAUACUGUAGGUUAUACAGAGUCGUA